ACACUGUCUCUUUUAUUUUCUUUUUAAUUUACUUAAGGAAUGCAAAUUUUCCUAAUUUAAAUAAUAGACGAGAAGACCCUUAGAAUUAUAAUAAUAAGUAUUACAUUAAUACCUUUUUUUUGUUGGGGCAACAGAAUAACAAUCUUUUAAAUUAUUUACAAGCUAGAAGACAAGCCGAAAUUUUUUAUCGUUGAUUUAAUUACCUUAGGGAUAACAGCAUAAUUUUUUAAAAAAGUUUGUGACCUCGAUGUUGG
Molecule: ribosomal RNA, 254 nt
Filed under: Phaedusa stenothyra
Lineage: Eukaryota; Metazoa; Mollusca; Gastropoda; Stylommatophora; Clausiliidae
Description: partial 16S ribosomal RNA
Source: RNAcentral